Molecule: transfer RNA, 72 nt
Organism: Camelus ferus (Wild Bactrian camel)
Lineage: Eukaryota; Metazoa; Chordata; Mammalia; Artiodactyla; Camelidae
Rfam family: tRNA
About the family: Transfer RNA (tRNA) molecules are approximately 80 nucleotides in length. Their secondary structure includes four short double-helical elements and three loops (D, anti-codon, and T loops).
Source: Rfam
GAGGGUAUAGCUCAGCAGUGGAGUGUGUGCUUAGCAUGCAUGAGGUCCUGGGUUCAAUCCCCAGUACCUCCA